RNAcentral lists this ribosomal RNA (225 nucleotides) under uncultured Glomeromycotina. Its description in RNAcentral is "partial small subunit ribosomal RNA". The stretch from base 40 to 225 matches the Rfam family "Eukaryotic small subunit ribosomal RNA", at positions 686 to 875 of the family's 1831-position model. The record is from RNAcentral. Lineage: Eukaryota; Fungi; Glomeromycota.
GGGUUAGUAGAUUGGUCAUGCCAUCGGUAUGCACUGGUCUCACUGAUUCCUCCUUCCUGAUGAGCCGUAAUGCCAUUAAUUUGGUGUUGCGGGGAAUUUGGACUGUUACUUUGAAAAUUAGAGUGUUUAAAGCAAGCUAACGCUUGAAUACAUUAGCAUGGAAUAAUGAAAUAGGACGUUCGAUCCUAUUUUGUUGGUUUCUAGGAUUGACGUAAUGAUUAAUAG